AUUGAACGCUGGUGGCAGGCCUAACACAUGCAAGUCGAACGAGUGGCGGACGGGUGAGUAAUGUCUGGGAAACUGCCUGAUGGAGGGGGAUAACUACUGGAAACGGUAGCUAAUACCGAAUACAAUCAGAAGUGCCCAGAUGGGAUUAGCUUGUUGGUGGGGUAACGGCUCACAAAGGCGACGAUCCCUCGCUGGUCUGAGAGGAUGACCAGCCACACUGGGUCGGAGACACGGUCAAGACUCCUACGGGAGUCAGCAGUGGGGAAUAUUGCACAAUGGGCGCAAGCCUGAUGCAGCCAUGCCGCGUGUAUGAAGAAGGCCUUCGGGUUGUAAAGUACUUUCAGCGGGGAGGCGUUACCCUCAGAAGAAGCACCGGCUAACUCCGUGCCAGCAGCCGCGGUAAUUC
Molecule: ribosomal RNA, 406 nt
Filed under: uncultured bacterium
Lineage: Bacteria
Description: partial 16S ribosomal RNA
Rfam family: Bacterial small subunit ribosomal RNA
Source: RNAcentral